This is a long non-coding RNA of Serinus canaria (Common canary), 1544 nucleotides long. RefSeq lists it as uncharacterized. The transcript is spliced from 3 exons. NCBI's taxonomy places the organism in Eukaryota, Metazoa, Chordata, Aves, Passeriformes, Fringillidae. The record is from RefSeq and is a predicted model, not a curated record.
CGUUUCCCGCCGCGCGCGCGCCGUCCAUCCCGGAAUGGCCCGCGUUGGGAAACCCCCCCAAAAAUCACUGAGUUCGGCCAUUUCCCCUCGAGCACGCUGCCGAGCCUGCCGCCAAGCCGUGUCCCACAUCCCACAUCGCUCCGGACACCGGGGCUCCGCCGCUGCCCCGGGCGGUUGGUGCCAGUGCCUGAGCCCUCUCUCUGUGAGAAGAAAAAGUUCCUAAAAUCCGAGUUAAACCUAGAAACUGAAGGUCACAUGUCAGAAGAUGAACCUGUUGCAUUGCGGGAUGUCCCACGCGUGACUGCACCAGUGCCUGUGUGUGGGUAAAGGGCAGCACCAGAGCAUUUUUCCAGACACUCCAAAUGCCCUGGAGGGAACAGGGAGCCUCGGCCUCCCUUUGUUUCAGAGUUUUCUGCUGCUCCUGUCGGUUAACCAUCACAAGUAAUUAAGAUCUAUAAGAUAACAUGGGUCAUACCUAUGCUUCGGCAGGCUGCCAGUGGAGUGUCUUCGCAACAGGAACAUCAAACAAACUCCAUAAUUGCAAAGUUUGUAACGGGAAUAUUUCCUCUGCAGUUCGGACAGUCUGUGCCACUCGUGAUCACACGUCAGUAGCAUUAGGGAAGUCCCAAAUUCUGCUUUCUGGAGUUGCACAAUGCACAUUGUGUUUGAUGACAGCAGAUUUACAUGGUCAGGAGAGGAAACACGGGGUUGCACAGCCAUGGGGGUCAUGUCUUGGUAACCAAGGUGAAGAAUUCACCACUCUGCUCUCAUACAUGAUUCAGCCAUUCCCAGAUCUUUCCUGUCCCAAAUUACUGUUUUAAUUUCUACUCCAUAUAGUUUCCUCAUGGCUUGAUUCAGGCCUCCUUUUAUCUUGUGCUGCUCUUUGUGAAAAUGCAUUUAUAAUGAAAUCCCUGAAUGAUUUAGGUUGGAAUAGACCUUAAACAUCAUCUUGUUCCACCCCUGCCAUGGGCAGGGACACCUUCAUCUGUCCCAGGUUGCUCCAAGCCCUGGCCAGCUUGGCCUUGGACACUUCCAGGGAUCCAGAGCAGCCAGAGCCUCUCUGGGAAAUUUGUGCCAGGGCCUCUCCAUCUUUGCAGGGAAGAAUUCCCUCCUAAAUGUGAAAGUCACUUGUGGAAACCAAGGGCACCAGGAAUAUUUCUCUUUCUGCACUGGGGUGUCCUGACCCCCAGGGGAGCACUGACUUUGACCCUCAUUAAUGGAGAAGGUUUCCUAGACUUCAAGAUAGACUAGAAUCAAAAAAAAAAAAAAAAAAGUGAAAUAGAUUAUAGAGAGUAGUGUAGGUGUGUCACUUGGUGAGAAAUUGAGGUUUUGGGAUUUUUAGUAUGUUGUGGAUGGAAUCAAGAUGGAGGGCACAGGGUGUUGUCCUGGGUUUCUUCUUCAUGCUUCUUCUUCCUUCUUCUUCUUGGUUUAGGUGGUAUUUUGUAAUUGGGCAGAAAAGUCCACACUGGGGGCUCUGUGGGAUCAAUUAUUGGGUUAAAAGGGAAAAUAAUGUAAGUGUCAGUUCUUAAUAGGACAGUUUAGUC